GACGAACGCUGGCGGCGUGCUUAACACAUGCAAGUCGAACGGAAAGGCCCUGCUUUUGUGGGGUGCUCGAGUGGCGAACGGGUGAGUAACACGUGAGUAACCUGCCCUUGACUUUGGGAUAACUUCAGGAAACUGGGGCUAAUACCGGAUAGGAGCUCCUGCUGCAUGGUGGGGGUUGGAAAGUUUCGGCGGUUGGGGAUGGGCUCGCGGCUUAUCAGCUUGUUGGUGGGGUAGUGGCUUACCAAGGCUUUGACGGGUAGCCGGCCUGAGAGGGUGACCGGCCACAUUGGGACUGAGAUACGGCCCAGACUCCUAAGGGAGGCAGCAGUGGGGAAUAUUGCACAAUGGGCGGAAGCCUGAUGCAGCAACGCCGCGUGCGGGAUGACGGCCUUCGGGUUGUAAACCGCUUUCGCCUGUGACGAAGCGUGAGUGACGGUAAUGGGUAAAGAAGCACCGGCUAACUACGUG
RNAcentral lists this ribosomal RNA (468 nucleotides) under uncultured bacterium. Its description in RNAcentral is "partial 16S ribosomal RNA". It matches the Rfam family "Bacterial small subunit ribosomal RNA", at positions 28 to 507 of the family's 1533-position model. The record is from RNAcentral.